This 497-nucleotide ribosomal RNA is filed under the name uncultured bacterium. Its description in RNAcentral is "partial 16S ribosomal RNA". It matches the Rfam family "Bacterial small subunit ribosomal RNA", at positions 28 to 507 of the family's 1533-position model. The record is from RNAcentral.
GAUGAACGCUGGCGGCGUGCCUAAUACAUGCAAGUCGAGCGAACAGAUGAGGAGCUUGCUCCUCUGACGUUAGCGGCGGACGGGUGAGUAACACGUGGAUAACCUACCUAUAAGACUGGGAUAACUUCGGGAAACCGGAGCUAAUACCGGAUAAUAUAUUGAACCGCAUGGUUCAAUAGUGAAAGACGGUUUUGCUGUCACUUAUAGAUGGAUCCACGCCGCAUUAGCUAGUUGGUAAGGUAACGGCUUACCAAGGCGACGAUGCGUAGCCGACCUGAGAGGGUGAUCGGCCACACUGGAACUGAGACACGGUCCAGACUCCUACGGGAGGCAGCAGUAGGGAAUCUUCCGCAAUGGGCGAAAGCCUGACGGAGCAACGCCGCGUGAGUGAUGAAGGUCUUCGGAUCGUAAAACUCUGUUAUUAGGGAAGAACAAAUGUGUAAGUAACUAUGCACGUCUUGACGGUACCUAAUCAGAAAGCCACGGCUAACUACGUG